AGCAGUCGCCGCGGUAAUACGGAGGGUGCAAGCGUUGUCCGGAUUUAUUGGGUUUAAAGGGUGCGUAGGCGGCUAUUUAAGUCAGCGGUGAAAGACUCCGGCUCAACCGGAGCAGUGCCAUUGAUACUGGAUAGCUUGAGUGUUGGAGGGGUACAUGGAAUUGAUGGUGUAGCGGUGAAAUGCAUAGAUACCAUCAGGAACACCGAUAGCGAAGGCAUUGUACUGGCCAACAACUGACGCUGAGGCACGAAAGCAUGGGGAGCGAACAGGAUUAGAUACCCGAGUAGUCCCUGUCUCUUAUAC
Molecule: ribosomal RNA, 303 nt
Filed under: uncultured bacterium
Lineage: Bacteria
Description: partial 16S ribosomal RNA
Rfam family: Bacterial small subunit ribosomal RNA
Source: RNAcentral